RNAcentral lists this long non-coding RNA (299 nucleotides) under Helianthus annuus (common sunflower). RNAcentral's name for it is "sRNA HanXRQr2_Chr10g0423191". The record is from RNAcentral. Lineage: Eukaryota; Viridiplantae; Streptophyta; Magnoliopsida; Asterales; Asteraceae.
GAAGCAGGAGGCGAUGGGUUUCUUCAAACCCUAAAAUCCUUACUAAAACUCUCAAAUUGGAGGUGCAAAUCUGGUCCAAAACGAAAAUUCGAGCAUAGAUUACUGAUCCCCAUUGCAAGGGGGUUGUAAGGUGAUAAGUGUGAUGAUGCUAAAUUCGUUCUUAGGUGCUCAAGGAUUAUGGGUGACGAUCAAGCAACUUUUGAAGGACCGAACACAUACUCUUGAAGCUUCCGCAUAAAUCAACUCGGUUUAAACAAUGUUUAUGAUGUAAACUGUUUGCUAAACAACUUUUGAAAUGU